Long non-coding RNA from Galeopterus variegatus (Sunda flying lemur), 843 nucleotides. RefSeq lists it as uncharacterized. The record is from RefSeq and is a predicted model, not a curated record. Lineage: Eukaryota; Metazoa; Chordata; Mammalia; Dermoptera; Cynocephalidae. The transcript is spliced from 3 exons.
GAGCACUUUCCCCCAUCCCCAGGACCACAGGUACCCCUCCUUACUUGUUGGGGGGAGGUCUGGAACACCUCGCCAAUGCCCUUCCCUUUGUCUGGCUGGGCCUCUCCAGAAAGGGAAUCCAGUCUCUCUUCCUAUUGAAUGUCAUCUUGUGGUCAUAAAGGGAACCAGCCUGAGCAUGAAGACCACACCGUGGAUGGCAAAGCAGGGACAUGGAAAAAGCCUGUGUCCUUGAUGACAUCAAGGAGCCAAUGAAAAAACCACCCUGAAACUCACUCAACACACCGUCUCUGGAUUCCAAGGAUCACCUCCUAUGGCAGAUGGGUCUUCCGAAGAUGGUCACAACAAUAUUUCCCAUCCCACAAGCUCUUUUAGAACCUUAACACUCCUUCCAUCAAGACAUGGCAUCUAUGUCCCCUUCCCUUGAGCCUGGGAGGGCUUGUGACAGCACCCACAAAUAGAAUGUUGCAGAAAUGGUGCUGUGUGAUUUGUAAGACUGGAUUGGAAAAGGCCAUGAGGCUUCUGUCAGGUUCUUUUGUGACACUUGCUCUUGGAAACCAGCCACCAUGCUAUAAGGAAACCCAGGCCAUAUGAAGAGGCCAUGUGUAGUUCUUUUAGCUGAUAGCCCAAGUUGAGGUUUCAGCCAACAGACAAUAUCAUCCACCAGACGAAUAAGUGAAGACACCUCCAAUGACUCCGGCCCCAGCCACGAAGUCACCCCCAGCUGUUAAGUCACCUCCCAGAAGAUGGACCAGACAUUGUAGAGAAGAGACAAGCACUCCCCACUGUGCUCUGUGUGAAUUCCUGACCCACAGAAUCCAUGGGGAUAAUAAAAGUUGUUUUAUG